This 241-nucleotide ribosomal RNA is filed under the name uncultured Staphylococcus sp. RNAcentral's name for it is "partial 16S ribosomal RNA". It matches the Rfam family "Bacterial small subunit ribosomal RNA", at positions 99 to 334 of the family's 1533-position model. The record is from RNAcentral. Lineage: Bacteria; Bacillati; Bacillota; Bacilli; Caryophanales; Staphylococcaceae.
CGGACGGGUGAGUAACACGUGGAUAACCUACCUAUAAGACUGGGAUAACUUCGGGAAACCGGAGCUAAUACCGGAUAAUAUUUUGAACCGCAUGGUUCAAAAGUGAAAGACGGUCUUGCUGUCGCUUAUAGACGGAUCCGCGCUGCAUUAGCUAGUUGGUAAGGUAACGGCUUACCAAGGCAACGAUGCAUAGCCGACCUGAGAGGGUGAUCUGCCACACUGGAACUGAGACACGGUCCAG